GUACACGCUGUGACUAGCAUAUCAAUAAGCGGAGGAAAAGAAACUAACAAGGAUUCCCCUAGUAACGGCGAGUGAAGCGGGAAGAGCUCAAAUUUGAAAUCUUAAAGGGUUUCCCUUUACGAAUUGUAGUUUAAAGAAGUGUCUUCUGUUGAGGUUUUGGUAAAAGUUCUUUGGAAUAGGACAUCAUAGAGGGUGAGAAUCCCGUAUUUGACCUUUACUUUCAACUUUGUGAUACACUUUCAGGAGUCGGAUUGUUUGGGAAUGCAGUCCAAAAUGGGUGGUAAAUUUCAUCUAAAGCUAAAUAUUGGCGAGAGACCGAUAGCGAACAAGUACCGUGAGGGAAAGAUGAAAAGAACUUUGAAAAGAGAGUUAAACAGUACGUGAAAUUGUCAAAAGGGAAGCGUUUGACACCAGUGUUGUUUUUCUGAAAAUCAAUUAAAGAACUGUUUAUGCUAAGCUGUUUAGACUUUAUCAGCUAAUCUGUUUAGUUUUGAGCUUUUCUUUAAUGCACUUUUCAGUUAACAAGUCAACAUCAAUUUCUUUUGCUGUAAAAAAGCUUGAGGAAGGUGGCUUGAGAUUCGUCUUAAGUGUUUAUAGCCUCUUGCCUAUGCAGUCGGAGAGAUUGAGGUCCUGCAGCGUAGAUCCUUCGGGGUUAAAUGCAUUUGUGCUAAGUUAUAGCAUUUUAUAGACAACUUGUUGACUAUGAUUUGUCUUGUAGCUUACUCGCUUAUGUUAUUUUACCUACGCUUAGGAUGUUGAAGAUGUAGCACAUCAU
RNAcentral lists this ribosomal RNA (775 nucleotides) under uncultured Neocallimastigales. RNAcentral's name for it is "partial large subunit ribosomal RNA". It matches the Rfam family "Eukaryotic large subunit ribosomal RNA", at positions 22 to 635 of the family's 3401-position model. Lineage: Eukaryota; Fungi; Neocallimastigomycota; Neocallimastigomycetes; Neocallimastigales. The record is from RNAcentral.